GAGGGGAGCCUGGCUUGGCUGUUUGAGAUGUUUUGUGCAUCCGAAACAGCGUUUGGGAUAGAAAAAACAUCUGGUUUUGAGGAGGUCCAGCUACUAGGUCAAGGAACAUUCAAAAGCCUGGGUAAAAUCAGGGUUUGGGACGAUUAAGGAAAGGUUGCAGUUGUGCCCCAGGUCGUGUAGCCGUAAAAUUAAGAAUAAUUAUUAGAACUGAUAGCCAUAGAAUUUAUGUUUUAGACUAAGCAUUUUAAAGGAGGGUGCUAGCCGUAGAACUCAUGUGUUUUAGUAAGGUUGGAAGUUCUCAAGGGAAAAUGCGUAGUUUAUAAUUUCUUGUGAAUCACAGAAUCAACUGGGUUGGAAAAGACCUCUGAGAUCAUCAAGUCCAACCUUUGACCCAACACUACUUUGCCUACUUGACCAUGGCACUCAGUGCCACAUCCAUUCUCAUCUUAAAAACCUCCAGGGACGGUGAAUCCACCACUUCCCUGGGCAGCCCAUUCCAAUGGCUGACCGCUCUCUCUGUAAAAAAUUUCUUCUUAAUGUCCAACCCAAAGCUUCCCUGGACUGUGUCUUCUUGUCCUACUGCUGGUUCCUGGGAGAAGAGACUGACCCCCACCUGGCUCCACUUUCCUGUCAGAGAGUUGUGCAGAGCAACAAGGUCUCCCUGAGCCUCCUCUUCUCCAGGCUGAACGACCCCAGCUCCCUCAGCCUCUCCUCACGGCAAGAAUUGUGAUAAAAACAGAGAUGGUUCUUGCACCUGUGAAGAAACAGAUGAAAAGCAAGAAAGAAGACAAACCACAUCCACAAGACUGGGUUAAGGCCUUGAGCCAGUUCCAGAAGGGAGGAAAUCUAGGAGUCAAGAGAAGAACAUAACAAGAAAGAUGUUGAUGCCUGGCACCAGGGGUCACUUUACGACCUCUGAAGCAAUUCCAGGGAGGCAUAUGGUGGGUGGAAAAUAGGGUGGAAGAGGUGAGGUAAUCCUUGAAUGUGUAAUUAGAGAGUUGUAUAAAGUUAUGGAACCUGUGUGGUUCGUAGUGCACCCUUAGGAAUUUUUUUCUGAUACACCUGGUGCUGGAAUAAACGUGUGCUUUUUUGGCUUUCUGUACUCAAAA
Myiozetetes cayanensis is the source of this 1109-nucleotide long non-coding RNA. RefSeq lists it as uncharacterized. The record is from RefSeq and is a predicted model, not a curated record. The transcript is spliced from 2 exons. Lineage: Eukaryota; Metazoa; Chordata; Aves; Passeriformes; Tyrannidae.